Molecule: ribosomal RNA, 448 nt
Filed under: uncultured bacterium
Lineage: Bacteria
Description: partial 16S ribosomal RNA
Rfam family: Bacterial small subunit ribosomal RNA
Source: RNAcentral
AACGAACGCUGGCGGCAUGCCUAACACAUGCAAGUCGAACGAGAUCUUCGGGUCUAGUGGCGCACGGGUGCGUAACGCGUGGGAAUCUGCCCUUUGGUUCGGAAUAACAGUUGGAAACGACUGCUAAUACCGGAUGAUGACGAAAGUCCAAAGAUUUAUCGCCAGAGGAUGAGCCCGCGUAGGAUUAGCUAGUGGGUGUGGUAAGGCGCACCAAGGCGACGAUCCUUAGCUGGUCUGAGAGGAUGAUCAGCCACACUGGGACUGAGACACGGCCCAGACUCCUACGGGAGGCAGCAGUGGGGAAUAUUGGACAAUGGGCGAAAGCCUGAUCCAGCAAUGCCGCGUGAGUGAUGAAGGCCUUAGGGUUGUAAAGCUCUUUUACCCGGGAUGAUAAUGACAGUACCGGGAGAAUAAGCUCCGGCUAACUCCGUGCCAGCCGCCGCGGUAA